This 2663-nucleotide long non-coding RNA is filed under the name Homo sapiens (human). Its description in RNAcentral is "HSALNT0026040". The record is from RNAcentral. Lineage: Eukaryota; Metazoa; Chordata; Mammalia; Primates; Hominidae.
AGUGACUCCCCUGGUUCUCAGGCCUCUGAGUUUGUACUGGAACAACACUACCAGCUUCCCUGGGGUUGCAGCUAGCAGAUGUAGAUUGUGGGUCUUCUUAGCCUUAAUAAUUAUGUGAGCCAAUAUUCCCCCAUGAUAAAUAUAUCUAUUCCCAUAGAUAGAUAUAUGUUAUAUUGGUUUUGUUUCUAUGGAGAACCCUAAAAUAGUAAGCAAAACAAAAUGGACAGCAGACAAAGGAAGGAUGAAGUUUCAAGUCAGUUUUUCAGUUUGGUGGCCUGAAAGCUAAGUGGGUCUUGACUGAAGGAUUCUAUUUUCUCUGAAGUCUGAGGGAGUUCAAUUUAUUCAUUCUGGGUGGCUCUCAGGGAUAUAGCUAAGAAGCAUUGGGGAAAAUUUAGCUAUGCAGGUUUCAGUUCAAUAAUAAGAGCGUCUGAAUAGUGACAAUUGUUUUCAGUAAUGAUAUCUAACUUUCACUGAGCAUUUAUCACGUGCCAGGCUUUAAGUUAAUUUAUCUCAUUCAAUUAUUUCAGCAACCUGAUGAGGUUGGUAUCAUUAUUAUUUUUAUUUUGCACACAAAAAUUAAGAUUCUUAAAGGGGAAGUAAAUUUCUGAAGGUCACACUAUCAGAAGUUAAUCCAAAUAUAGAAAUAGCUUGACUGGUAGUGAGUUCCCUAUCACUGAUAGUAAUUUUCCCUAAAUUGUGUAAUAAUUAUUUAGAUAAAAAAAUAGGAGUUUCUUUUAGAAAUAGAGGAUAAAAAUAUAUUUUGUUAGGGAAGGCUGGCCAUUUUCCUACCAAGUACUUAAAAUAAUUGUUCGUUAGGUAUGCUGUAAAGAAUAAUUCCAACAAAAGAAAUGAGAUUGCAAUAACUUGGUAGUUUAAAAACUCAGCAUUUUGGAAUCCUGGAGGUCCAUGAACAUAUCCCAGGGUCCCUCAAGAGGGGCUGGCUUCUUUCUUUUCUGCUUCUGCCCCAUCGUAAGUAAGACAGCUACAUGUCCACUGGCUCUCCUGUGUAUUGAGACCACUUGUAAAAUUUCAUAUAAAAAAGUUGUAUGGAUAAGAAAAUGUCUAGAAGCCAUCAGAAUGAAAAUCCUUCAUCAUAUUCUAGCCCUAUAAUUCCGUGGAAAGAAUUUUCUGGAGGGCAGGUGUGAACUGGAGGCUGGAACAGUGGCCUUUUCCACACUGCCUAGUCCCCCCAUCCUGGGUACCCCGCCCAGCCUGCUCUGCGCUGCACCGCCUGCCUCUCAGAAGAAUCUCCUCUUCUGCGAAGGCCAUUCAGGGCUUCCCAACCCGGGCCAGCCCUCGUAGCUCCCAGGGGCUCUGAACACCCAGUGGCUGGGCCACUUCGAGCUCUCUGGGGGAGAGGAUUUGCAUUUGCAGCAGGCUCUGGCCUCCUGGGUGUGGCCCGGGUCUGCAUGAACCUCCCAGGCCGGGGAUGGAGCCCUGCGGCUCUGCCAGGGGGAUGCUCCCUCCCUGUCCUUUGAAAAUGUCGGCUGUGAAAACAGCACUGGCAGGCACACUCUCUGCUCACACAGAAAGCUCCUGACUCAGCUGUUUCUCGUCGAUGCUGGCAGUGUCCCCCGGGACGGGGAGGGCAGGCCGUGGCCAGGCCAGCCACGGAGGAGGCUCUGGGUGACCUGUGGGGCCAUUUGCCACCCGUCACUCCAGGUCUGCGGUCUGCCGAGCCACCACCUGCACCUUGUGCUCUUCCAAGAUGGAAUUCCGGGGGUGGGCACUGGGCAGCUAAUCACCAAUUGGUGAUCGAGCUGCCGUUCCCAUGGUGAUUUCCCAUCGAGCCCACACACCCUGGGCUCUCAUCCCCUCCCAUUCACUGUAACCUCCAUUAAGUAGAAACAAAAGAUUAAUAUGGCAGAAGCCAUUUAAUGAACUCGGCAGUGGUGCAGAGGCUUUUAGCUUUUUCCUGGAGUGGAUUCCUGGAACAGCAAGGCUGGGGCCCCUCAGCCCCUGCAGGAGGUGCCACAGGCUUUCCCGGCGUCUGAUGUCUCGCCCCAUUGUCAGACUUCAAUUGCAGCAAAUGCCUGCCCAGACAGUCUCCUGGUUUAGGGGAAGACCCCCUUUCUUUACGUCUGCAAGGGAAGGGAAGAAGGGGGCAGUCAGAGAUGGGCAGCGUGUGGAGAAGCAAAUUGGGCAUCUGGAGCCCCCAUUGCUUGCCACUUGUUCAUUUUCCCUCCCCACUCAGCCAUCUCUGAUGGGAGCCAGUUCUGGACUGGGGCCCUGAGGAGGGAAGUGACAGAGCCGCAGCACUGCCAUCUUGGACACACACUGCCAUCUUGGACACGCACGGCCAUUUUAAGUUCCCUUGAUUAAAAACCGCCUAAAUCCAGCCCCAAAACCUCAGCCUAAUGGUUAAUGUCAGCAUGACCAGAAACAUUCCAACCCUGAGAUAAACCCCUCUCCAGCCAGAAACAUGCCAAUCCCAAGAUAACCUACCCUCUGACCAGAGACAUGCCAGCCCCGCAAUAAACUUUCCCUCACACAGAAACAUUCCAAGCCUGCAAUAAACUCCCCCUUCCUAAACCCUUAAAUACCCUUAGUCUCUAAGAGAGAAUGCUCCUGAUGGAAAUUGGCCAGGAGCCCCUCUCAGGUUUAUUCUCCAAAAUAAAACUGUCUUUGACUGUUGAGCCACUUUUCAUGUUUCUUUCUUCUUU